CUGAGGCGUGAUGGGGAAGGCCAUAUAGGCCGAAGUACAUGAUUCCAUGCUUCCAAGAAAAGCAUCUAGAGAGAGAAGUAGUGCCCGUACCGCAAACCGACACAGGUAGAUGGGGAGAGAAUCCUAAGGCCGGCGGAAGAAUUGCAGUUAAGGAACUAGGCAAAUUGACCCCGUAAGUUCGCGAGAAGGGGUGCCUGCGAGAGCAGGCCGCAGAGAAUAGGCCCAAGCAACUGUUUAGCAAAAACACAGGUCUCUGCUAAAGCGUAAGCUGAUGUAUAGGGGCUGACGCCUGCCCGGUGCUGGAAGGUUAAGGGGAACACUUAGCGCAAGCGAAGGUGUGAACUUAAGCCCCAGUAAACGGCGGCCGUAACCAUAACGGUCCUAAGGUAGCGAAAUUCCUUGUCAGGUAAGUUCUGACCCGCACGAAUGGCGUAAUGACUUGGGCACUGUCUCAACUGCAAAUCCGGCGAAGUUGUAGUGCGAGUGAAGAUGCUCGCUACCCGCGAUUGGACGGAAAGACCCCGUAGAGCUUUACUGUAGCUUAGCAUUGAAUUCCGGUAUUGUCUGUACAGGAUAGGUGGGAGACUGGGAAACUAGGGCGUCAGCCUUAGUGGAGUCAACCUUGGGAUACCACCCUGACAGUACUGGGGUUCUAACAGGACGCCAUGAAUCUGGUGACUGGACAUUGUUAGGUGGGCAGUUUGACUGGGGCGGUCGCCUCCUAAAAAGUAACGGAGGCGCCCAAAGGUUCCCUCAGAACGGUCGGAAAUCGUUCGUAGAGUGCAAAGGCAGAAGGGAGCCUGACUGCGAGACAUACAAGUCGAGCAGGGACGAAAGUCGGGCUUAGUGAUCCGGUGGUACCUCGUGGGAGGGCCAUCGCUCAACGGAUAAAAGCUACCUCGGGGAUAACAGGCUGAUCUCCCCCAAGAGUCCACAUCGGCGGGGAGGUUUGGCACCUCGAUGUCGGCUCGCCGCAUCCUGGGGCUGUAGUAGGUCCCAAGGGUUGGGCUGUUCGCCCAUUAAAGCGGCACGCGAGCUGGGUUCAGAACGUCGUGAGACAGUUCGGUCCCUAUCCGUCGCGGGCGUAGGAAAUUUGAGAGGAGCUGUCCUUAGUACGAGAGGACCGGGAUGGACUGACCUCUGGUGCACCAGUUGUUCCGCCAGGAGCAUGGCUGGGUAGCUAAGUCGGGAAGGGAUAAACGCUGAAAGCAUCUAAGCGUGAAGCCUCCCUCAAGAUGAGAUUUCCCAUAGCAUAAGCUAGUAAGACCCCUUGAAGAACACAAGGUUGAUAGGUCAGAGGUGUAAGUGCGGUAACGUAUUUAGCUGACUGAUACUAAUAGGUCGAGGGCUUGACC
RNAcentral lists this ribosomal RNA (1355 nucleotides) under metagenome. Its description in RNAcentral is "bacterial LSU rRNA". It matches the Rfam family "Bacterial large subunit ribosomal RNA", at positions 1556 to 2925 of the family's 2925-position model. The record is from RNAcentral.